UCGUAACAAGGUUUCCGUAGGUGAACCUGCGGAAGGAUCAUUACUGAGUGCGGGCUGCCUCCGGGCGCCCAACCUCCCACCCGUGACUACCUAACACUGUUGCUUCGGCGGGGAGCCCUCUCGGGGGCGAGCCGCCGGGGACUACUGAACUUCAUGCCUGAGAGUGAUGCAGUCUGAGUCUGAAUAUAAAAUCAGUCAAAACUUUCAACAAUGGAUCUCUUGGUUCCGGCAUCGAUGAAGAACGCAGCGAACUGCGAUAAGUAAUGUGAAUUGCAGAAUUCAGUGAAUCAUCGAGUCUUUGAACGCACAUUGCGCCCCCUGGCAUUCCGGGGGGCAUGCCUGUCCGAGCGUCAUUGCUGCCCAUCAAGCCCGGCUUGUGUGUUGGGUCGUCGUCCCCCCCGGGGGACGGGCCCGAAAGGCAGCGGCGGCACCGUGUCCGGUCCUCGAGCGUAUGGGGCUUUGUCACCCGCUCGAUUUAGGGCCGGCCGGGCGCCAGCCGACGUCCAACCAUUUUUCUUCAGGUUGACCUCGGAUCAGGUAGGGAUACCCGCUGAACUUAAGCAUAUCAAUAAGCGGAGGAAAAGAAACCAACCGGGAUUGCCCCAGUAACGGCGAGUGAAGCGGCAAGAGCUCAAAUUUGAAAUCUGGCCCCUCCGGGGUCCGAGUUGUAAUUUGCAGAGGAUGCUUC
This 688-nucleotide unclassified non-coding RNA is filed under the name Aspergillus protuberus. RNAcentral's name for it is "sequence contains ITS1, 5.8S rRNA gene, ITS2". The stretch from base 200 to 353 matches the Rfam family "5.8S ribosomal RNA". The record is from RNAcentral. Lineage: Eukaryota; Fungi; Ascomycota; Eurotiomycetes; Eurotiales; Aspergillaceae.